UGUUGCGAGACCAGCUUCUCUUACUUCUCUCCUUACUCCUCCAACGCGCCGGCCUCCGGCCUAUUUCCGGCGAAGAUUCCUCCUCCGGCCGCAUUUUCCCGCUGGAUUCUCUGCGAAGAGCAGGGUUUCGAGUCCGGCUGAGACGGACGACCGAGUGGCUAGCCUGAAGAGCCGAGUUAACUAAGAAAGGGUCGUCACUCCUCGGUCUCAGGUUCAAUGUCUGGUACCUCGAUGUUAUUUUUAACGCUGAGCUUGCGGAUUAUGGUCCGGUUCGUGGCAUAUGGUUAUUCGCCCGUACGGUUAUGCCAUUUGGGAGGCUAUUCAGGAUGACUUGAAUGUUAGGUUCAAGGAGGCACGGCAUGGUAACAUGUGCUUUCCGCAGGACGCAUUGGCAAUUUGUCAGUGUUUUACAAUUUGAACCAUACAACUGCAGUUUAUGCGAUACUCUUCCAUAUAGAAAGAAACUAGCCGUGUGGAGGGCUUCAGUCCAGAGUUAGCUAUUGUUACCAUUAGGGAAGGGAAGGAACUGGAAUAGAAACUUGUGGUAUGCAGAUAAUCAGCAGUUGUAUGAAUCUCUGACUGACUAUAGUUGGUGAUAGUACUGGUUCGAGUCCGUGGAAACUUAUGACCUGAGUUCUGGCUUUGAUUGUUGCACUUCUUGAGGUUGUGGCAGGUUCGACCAACAAGUGAAACCAUUGUGAAUCACAUGUUUCCUCACUGGCUCUAUGGUUACCAUGAUCUUCCCCUCAUGAUCAA
Molecule: non-coding RNA, 756 nt
Organism: Carica papaya (papaya)
Lineage: Eukaryota; Viridiplantae; Streptophyta; Magnoliopsida; Brassicales; Caricaceae
Source: RefSeq, a predicted model, not a curated record